This 427-nucleotide long non-coding RNA is filed under the name Olea europaea (common olive). RNAcentral describes it as "long non-coding RNA (OEUR_LNC007722)". Lineage: Eukaryota; Viridiplantae; Streptophyta; Magnoliopsida; Lamiales; Oleaceae. The record is from RNAcentral.
GAACUACGGGUUCGUUUCGAUGAAUAAAUAGUUUCAAAUAACUAGAGUUCAAUUCCUAGCAGGGAAAUGUAUGAUUACACAAGUAACAAUGUAUUGUUUCUGUGUUCUAUAGUUAUUUAUCCACUUGAAAUGGUAGUUUUCUUAGAAAGGGAAAAAACCUGGGGUAAAUUUCAUUUUUGCAUUGGAAAUUUUGCUGCUAUUAACCUAAAAAGGUGGGAUGGGAAGUCCUAAAAUGGUAAGAUUACAAGAGAAGAUUUUUCUUUUUUGUUAACCUGUCUUGGAGUUUGACAAGCCUAAUAUGUUAACAGGACAUAAAUACAAUUUCUUGUAGCAGUUCAAACUACGAAGUAACACAAAGUUGGAUUAUUUUGCACUUGGCUUUAUCUUUGUUGAAGUUAUUGUUAGAGAAACUUCAUUAAGAAUUGAC